This 253-nucleotide ribosomal RNA is filed under the name uncultured bacterium. RNAcentral's name for it is "partial 16S ribosomal RNA". It matches the Rfam family "Bacterial small subunit ribosomal RNA", at positions 524 to 776 of the family's 1533-position model. The record is from RNAcentral.
UACGAAGGGGGCUAGCGUUGCUCGGAAUCACUGGGCGUAAAGGGUGCGUAGGCGGGUCUUUAAGUCAGGGGGGAAAUCCUGGAGCUCAACUCCAGAACUGCCUUUGAUACUGAAGAUCUUGAGUUCGGGAGAGGUGAGUGGAACUGCGAGUGUAGAGGUGAAUUUCGUAGAUAUUCGCAAGAACACCAGUGGCGAAGGCGGCUCACUGGCCCGAUACUGACGCUGAGGCACGAAAGCGUGGGGAGCAAACAGG